Diospyros lotus (date-plum) is the source of this 103-nucleotide small nuclear RNA. Lineage: Eukaryota; Viridiplantae; Streptophyta; Magnoliopsida; Ericales; Ebenaceae. The record is from RefSeq and is a predicted model, not a curated record.
GUCCAUUCGAGAACAUCUGAUAAAAUUGGAACGAUAAAGAGAAAAUUAGCAUUACUCCUGCGCAAGGAUGACAUGCACAAAUUGAGAAAUUGUCCAAUUUUUU